GAUGAACGCUGACAGAAUGCUUAACACAUGCAAGUCUACUUGAUCCUUCGGGUGAUGGUGGCGGACGGGUGAGUAACGCGUAAAGAACUUGCCCUGCAGUCUGGGACAACAUUUGGAAACGAAUGCUAAUACCGGAUAUUAUGUGAGUUUCGCAUGAAAUUCAUAUGAAAGCUAUAUGCGCUGCAGGAGAGCUUUGCGUCCUAUUAGCUAGUUGGUGAGGUAACGGCUCACCAAGGCGAUGAUAGGUAGCCGGCCUGAGAGGGUGAACGGCCACAAGGGGACUGAGACACGGCCCUUACUCCUACGGGAGGCAGCAGUGGGGAAUAUUGGGCAAUGGACCAAAAGUCUGAUCCAGCAAUUCUGUGUGCACGAUGAAGUUUUUCGGAAUGUAAAGUGCUUUCAGUUGGGACGAAGUAAGUGACGGUACCAACAGAAGAAGCGACGGCUAAAUACGUGCCAGCAGCCGCGGUAAUACGUAUGUCGCAAGCGUUAUCCGGAUUUAUUGGGCGUAAAGCGCGUCUAGGCGGUUUGGUAAGUCUGAUGUGAAAAUGCGGGGCUCAACUCCGUAUUGCGUUGGAAACUGCCAAACUAGAGUACUGGAGAGGUGGGCGGAACUACAAGUGUAGAGGUGAAAUUCGUAGAUAUUUGUAGGAAUGCCGAUGGGGAAGCCAGCCCACUGGACAGAUACUGACGCUAAAGCGCGAAAGCGUGGGUAGCANACAGG
This 724-nucleotide ribosomal RNA is filed under the name uncultured bacterium. RNAcentral describes it as "bacterial SSU rRNA". It matches the Rfam family "Bacterial small subunit ribosomal RNA", at positions 28 to 776 of the family's 1533-position model. The record is from RNAcentral.